This 253-nucleotide ribosomal RNA is filed under the name uncultured bacterium. RNAcentral describes it as "partial 16S ribosomal RNA". It matches the Rfam family "Bacterial small subunit ribosomal RNA", at positions 524 to 776 of the family's 1533-position model. The record is from RNAcentral.
UACGGAGGGGGCUAGCGUUGUUCGGAAUUACUGGGCGUAAAGCGCGCGUAGGCGGCUUUGUAAGUCAGAGGUGAAAGCCCGGAGCUCAACUUCGGAAUAGCCUUUGAGACUGCAUCGCUUGAAUCCGGGAGAGGUGAGUGGAAUUCCGAGUGUAGAGGUGAAAUUCGUAGAUAUUCGGAAGAACACCAGUGGCGAAGGCGGCUCACUGGACCGGUAUUGACGCUGAGGCACGAAAGCGUGGGGAGCAAACAGG